This is a non-coding RNA of Elaeis guineensis (African oil palm), 3816 nucleotides long. Lineage: Eukaryota; Viridiplantae; Streptophyta; Magnoliopsida; Arecales; Arecaceae. The record is from RefSeq and is a predicted model, not a curated record.
AAAUCAAGGGCUUAUCACAUUCAAACAUACGGUGUGGAUGGCAGCCCGUUGCGAUGGCUGCACAGCCAUGGCAAAAUCUCCGUCCCUCCUUCGAAAGAGUUUAUAUUUUAUUCUCCUCAUUCAAAACGUUGAAGUCGGAAGAGCUGUUCUCUAUAAAUCAUAUAAAUUAUUUUGUCCUUUUGAGCUUGUCAUCUUCCAAUCCCUUCUUCUUCUCUCGACUCCUUUUCCUCCCUCCCCUUCCAGUCCUUCAUCUAUUGCCCCGGAUCCACCGAAAGCUGCCUCAUUUCCAUACUCUUUUAUCAAAUUCCUCUGAGUAGUUGAAAAAUUAUUGUUGUUGGUGGCAUGCAGAUGGAGAUUUCUCGGGAAUUUUGAUCGUGCAGUUGUUCAAAUAGGCUUUCUCGGAGAAUGGCCUCCUUCCAGUCAUGGAAGUGCUCGUGGUCUUUGAUAGCGGCCGUGGCUUCUCUGGUGCUAUUGGUGUCACUGGUGCACAUGUUCUUGACGCCUUUGUUUCCUUCUUCGCUUGAUUACUUCGGUGCUCGACAGAAUUCCUGUUUGCCAGUUAACGUGUCGGUCGACGGGAGCAGUGAGCAUCUGGCCGAUAAUUCACAGUUGAAUCCUGUUUUUGAUCCUCAGCUUGUUGCUGACUCUCAUGGAGCAGUUACAUACCGGGGCGCACCAUGGAAGCCUGAGAUUGGAAGGUGGCUUUCUAGUUGUGAUUCAAUUUCUACAGCAAUUGAUGUCGUUGAGAGCAUAGGAAGCAAGAGUUGCGAGAACGACUGUAGUGGUCAAGGAAUAUGUAAUCGACAACUGGGACAAUGCAGGUGCUUUCAUGGAUUUGAUGGGGAAGGAUGUACCAAGAAGUUGCAGCUGGGCUGCAAUCAUCCAGAAACUCUAGAAAAACCAUUUGGAUGGUGGAUUGUUUCAAUAUGUCCAGCCUAUUGCGACACAACUAGAGCAAUGUGCUUUUGUGGAGCAGGAACAAAGUAUCCAAAUCGUCCUGUGGCAGAGUCAUGCGGCUUUAAAAUAAACUUACCAUCUGAACCUGGCGGGCCUAAGAUCACUGAUUGGACAAAGGCUGAUUUUGAGAAUAUAUUUACAACUAACAGUAGCAGACGAGGAUGGUGUAAUGUAGACCCAAAGGAUGCAUAUGCUUCCAAAGUGAACUUUAAAGAGGAAUGUGACUGUAAAUAUGAUGGUCUUGGGGGACGAUUCUGUGAGAUACCAACAGUUUGCAGUUGUCUCAACCAGUGCUCUGGGCAUGGACAUUGCCAUGGUGGAUUUUGUCAGUGUGACAAUGGCUAUUAUGGGAUAGAUUGCAGUAUCCCAUCUGCCUUAUCACCUAUGCAAGAGUGGCCUGCAUGGCUUCGACCAUCUAAAGUUGAUGUACCUGACAAGGCCCCAAUAGGUACCAACCUUAUAAAUGUUAGCGCUGUUGUUAAAAAAAAAAGACCACUUAUAUAUGUUUAUGAUCUGCCACCAGAGUUCAACAGUCACCUUCUGGAGGGACGGCAUUGGAAGUUUGAAUGUGUGAACAGAAUAUACACUGAUGAGAACCGAACACUGUGGACUGAGCAAUUGUAUGGCUCGCAGAUGGCACUUUAUGAGAGCAUACUGGCUAGUCCAUACCGAACAAUGAAUGGUGAAGAAGCAGACUAUUUCUAUGUUCCGGUUCUUGAUUCCUGUUUAAUAACUCGAGCGGAUGAUGCACCACAUUUGGGCAUACAGAAACAUUCACGUCUGAGGAGUUCUGUAACUUUGGAUUUCUACAAGAAGGCUUAUGAUCAUAUAGUUGACCAGUAUCUGUAUUGGAACCGCUCCUCUGGAAGGGACCAUAUAUGGUUCUUUUCAUGGGAUGAAGGUGCUUGCUGUGCUCCGAAAGAAAUUUGGAAUAGCAUGAUGUUAGUACACUGGGGGAACACAAAUUCCAAACAUAAUCACUCAACAACAGCUUAUUGGGCUGACAACUGGGACCCUAUCCCUUCCCAUAGAAGAGGUGACCAUCCCUGCUUUGACCCAGAGAAGGAUCUUGUGCUUCCAGCAUGGAAAAGGCCUGAGCCAGGUGCAAUAUGGUUAAAACUGUGGGCCAGGCCACGAAAGGAGCGUAAAACACUCUUCUAUUUCAAUGGAAAUUUAGGAUCUGCCUAUGAACAUGGACGACCUGAAAAUACGUAUAGUAUGGGUAUCAGGCAAAAACUGGCAGAAGAAUUUGGUUCUACACCUAACAAGGAGGGCAAGUUAGGGAGACAGCAUGCAGCCAAUGUAACAGUAAGUCCAUUACGCUCACCUAAGUAUCUUGAGGAAUUGGCAAGCUCUUUGUUUUGUGGGGUGCUGCCUGGGGAUGGUUGGAGUGGACGCAUGGAAGACAGCAUUCAGCAAGGGUGCAUUCCAGUGAUAAUCCAGGAUGGAAUCUUUCUUCCAUAUGAAAAUGUUCUCAACUAUAAAAGCUUUGCAGUGCGAAUUCAAGAGGAUGAUAUUCCAAACUUGAUAAAAAUUCUUCAGGGGAUUAAUGAAACAGAAAUAGAGUUUAUGUUGGCAAAUGUACGCCAGAUCUGGCAGAGGUUCUUAUAUCGUGAUUCUGUUUUGCUUGAGGCUCAGAGACAGAAGAAAUUGUUCCCUGAGGAGGAUGGUUGGGCAGUUGAGUUCUCAAAACUCAGAGAAGAUGAUGUCUUUUCCACAUUCAUACAGGUAUUGCACUAUAAAUUGCAUAACGAUCCCUGGAGGCAACAUCUCUCUCAGCCAAAAGAGUCUGGGUUGCCAAAGGUUUGCUUGAGAACACACUAGGUGCUUUAAAGAACCGAUGCUCAUAGCAAAAAAGCCUUAUGUUUGUUGUCCCAACCAAAAGGCAGGGAGGUGAAGUUAAAAUUAUUCUUUUCAUAUCACCAUUGGGAUGCUGAACAAUGCUGACUUGGAAUAUCUCACUCUUAGAUGCAAGUUUUUGACUAGUAUCAAUGACCAAUUUGCUAAUGGCUGAAGUUAACAAUCAGCAUUGGUUUUUGUGUCCAUAAAAAUGCUCAAUGGAAUAAAAGAUAUAGAAAGAUGCGGAACAGAAUAAAAUUCUCUCAUGUUGGAGUGAACAGAAUGACAUGUUUUUGAUGAUGACCUUCUGUCAGAAAUCUUGAUGGGACGUCUGGAUCUCAUGUGCUGGAAAAUAUACAAGCUGAGUAACGUGCACACUGACAUACACACUUUGAUGGAAAAUAUAGCAGAUGAGACCCCUGAGAUAACCUCUCCAAUAAGUUCUCUCUUACAUGCCCAUGAUAUCCUGGAUAUCUUUUUAGUCAGUCAGGUGGUGUCCAAGGCUCCUAGCAGUGGGUGACUUUGCUACAUGGUUGGCUGCCUUACCAUAUAAAAAAAUUGCACCUUUUAGGGAUUCCAAAAUUAUUGCUCGGCAACCCGGACAGCCUGCAGGUACGCUUAUAAAAAAUAGAUUGAUAGAUGGCUUGUGAACUCGCGAGAUUUCAGGCCCCACUCAGAAAGUGGAAAUGAAUGCCUAUCAGUCCAUUUGGCCCUAAUAAAAGGUAACAAAUUUAUAAGUUUCUAGUUUGCUGCUAUGUACCUAUGAUGUCAAAUUACACAACCAUGGAUGAGAUAACUACUUGAAAAGCAUAUUUCCGAAUCUUUCAUAUUUUAUCUUAGUUUCUUUUAAUAAAGUUUGAUGAUCUCACUUAGAAAAGCUAGUUCAAAAAUAUUAUUUGAAUUUCUUAUUUUUGUAUGGAUGCUUAAGAUCUUUCUGAUGUAUGAUCGAUAUAGGACUAGAUUAAAUACGUAACUUGCAUGGAUCCUUACACAUAUUUGCCUUUCAAGCUUUGGCAUUCU